GAUGAUGAUCCCAAGCCUUCUGGCGAUCUAGACAAAACAAGUCCACCGUGGGCUUUGAAAAACGCUUUCCUUGAUAAAAUUUAAGCGUUUUAUAAGAGGAUGCCGGGGAAGGUUUUCCGGUUUAUCCCGGAGGGCUUGUAGCUCAGUUGGUUAGAGCGCGCGCUUGAUAAGCGUGAGGUCGGAGGUUCAAGUCCUCCCAGGCCCACCAGUUUAUCCAUUACUUUCAUAAGUGCUUUUAAAAAAUAAGUACUUCUAAAAAGAUUGCUUCUAAAAAGCUUAUCAAAAUUGGCAGGCUUAUUGCUUUUGUGUGAGUAAUCCAAAGUUAAAGCAAAUUAAUGGCAAAAAAACAGUUCAAAUGCUAAAUACUAAGGAGUCAAAAUUCCUUGCAAAGUGAUUUUUACAGCGUCCAUUUGGUUGAUAUAAAUUCCAAAUGCUCAUAGACGUCAAUGCCUAUAUGAAACUAUCGGUUCAAUCAUAUCGCUUUGAGUUAUAUAGAUUUUGUAAUCCCUCUUUUGAUCGUUUUAAACGCUUUAUCCUGAUUUAGGGGCCGUAGCUCAGCUGGGAGAGCACCUGCUUUGCAAGCAGGGGGUCGUCGGUUCGAUCCCGUCCGGCUCCACCAUAAGGUCAUCAUCAUUGUUGUAAGAACAGUUUUGUAAAAGGUUUGCGAACCUUUUGCUUGUUCU
Molecule: transfer RNA, 683 nt
Filed under: Bartonella henselae
Lineage: Bacteria; Pseudomonadati; Pseudomonadota; Alphaproteobacteria; Hyphomicrobiales; Bartonellaceae
Description: partial 16S-23S ribosomal RNA intergenic spacer
Rfam family: tRNA (bases 132-205)
Source: RNAcentral